This 460-nucleotide ribosomal RNA is filed under the name uncultured bacterium. RNAcentral describes it as "partial 16S ribosomal RNA". It matches the Rfam family "Bacterial small subunit ribosomal RNA", at positions 338 to 795 of the family's 1533-position model. The record is from RNAcentral.
CCUACGGGGGGCAGCAGUGAGGAAUAUUGGUCAAUGGACGAGAGUCUGAACCAGCCAAGUAGCGUGAAGGAUGACUGCCCUAUGGGUUGUAAACUUCUUUUAUAAAGGAAUAAAACGAGGCACGUGUGCCUUUUUGCAUGUACUUUAUGAAUAAGGAUCGGCUAACUCCGUGCCAGCAGCCGCGGUAAUACGGAGGAUCCGAGCGUUAUCCGGAUUUAUUGGGUUUAAAGGGAGCGUAGAUGGGUUGUUAAGUCAGUUGUGAAAGUUUGCGGCUCAACCGUAAAAUUGCAAUUGAUACUGGCAGUCGUGAGUACAGUUGAGGUAGGCGGAAUUCGUGGUGGAGCGGUGAAAUGCUUAGAUAUCACGAAGAACCCCGAUUGCGAAGGCAGCUUACUAAACUGUGACUGACAUUGAUGCUCGAAAGUGUGGGUAUCAAACAGGAUUAGAUACCCGGGUAGUC